This is a long non-coding RNA of Drosophila persimilis, 1365 nucleotides long. RefSeq lists it as uncharacterized. The transcript is spliced from 3 exons. The record is from RefSeq and is a predicted model, not a curated record. NCBI's taxonomy places the organism in Eukaryota, Metazoa, Arthropoda, Insecta, Diptera, Drosophilidae.
UCUGAUAUAACCUGAACUAUCUGGCAGCUCUCUGAAUUGGCAUCACACCAUGUGAAGUUGGCUGCGCUUAAUAGCCUUAUGACAGAUUUACUCACUGACUAAGUGCAAAAAGGGAGACAGUCUUAUGGGAAAAGCAUACAGUAAGAGCGAGAGGGAUACCUGCUUCAGCUUGGGUUUCCGGUGAAGCUUGGAACAGCGCUGCACGAGAAAUGAUCGUUUUUUACACUUUUCAGAUCCAAUUUGGCUGUCAAAUAAAUAAGGCAAUAAAAUUAACUUCCCAGUCAUUCCCAGCCAUCAGUUCAGAAGGGGGUGAGGGAAUCAGCCAGCGCCAGUGCAACGAAUACUGCCGAUACUCCUCCUCAGUCGGAGACAGCUCGAAAGUCUGGCUGGCAAAGGGAAAAGACAGUGCCCCUAAAGCUCGGCAAACGAUUUACGCUUACCAAGAAGCAAUAGGCCAUCUUCCAAAAAGUCAAAGUAUGUUUAGGAGAUGACAAGGAUGACAAUGCAGAAGCGCUGAAGUCAUUGGAAGUAGAUCAAAGUCUAGUGUCCGUGCUGCACCAGUUGACCAUCAGCAUAUCAGAAGCAUAUCUACAUAAAAGGGUUGUAUAUCAGCGUUUAAGCUCUUGUGAAGAAUCGCAGGAAAACAUCUGGCAUACUCCUGCUCCUCCUACUUCGAGGAGGGUGACGAAUAGAAUUAUAAGCUUCACUGGGACCCCUGGGAACUGGCAAGUGACAUAGUGGGCGGUACUGUGAUGGUCGCCAUGAGCUACGACAGAGCUACUGUAGAAUUAUUAGGAUGUUAAUUGACGGGCUCCGUCGCCACGGAAACUUAUUUGCGAUUUAUGCCGUCAUUGCCGUCAUUUGGCCAAUUACGAAGUCUUGUCGUAGAAGACUAUUCAUGUACGACGGAGGGAGACCCCAGAGUGGAACAGGAAGGAUUAAAUAUUGACUAAGAUAUGUACUCCGGCUAUGAAAACCAUGAACGCCCCUCCUGAUCAAAUGGGCAAAUACUCGUAUGUCGCAUUCUAUGAUCGUUUUGGGGAAACUUUGUACUCUAUGGUUCUUGGAAUUCGUGUAAAAGAGGGAGUGGGAUCAGAAGAAUGAAAAGCCAAUUUAGAAAAGGAAGGCCGCAGAUGAACUAUUAGACAAUUUAGAAACAAAGAGAAAGAACAGAGGAGUUACAUAAAUGCCAAUUUAGAAGCACAGAGAAAUGUCGACUUCCAGGAGGAGGUCACAGACGAAUUAAUGAAAACAGAGCAAAAUUCUGACUGCUACACUGGAAAAUGCUGGCGACGGCCGGAAGAGAGCAACAAAUAUUAAUAUUUGCCCAUAACAAAAGAAAUAAACAGAUUGUGUAUUCCAGAG